This 315-nucleotide ribosomal RNA is filed under the name uncultured eukaryote. Its description in RNAcentral is "partial 18S ribosomal RNA". It matches the Rfam family "Eukaryotic small subunit ribosomal RNA", at positions 1470 to 1796 of the family's 1831-position model. The record is from RNAcentral.
CCCUUAGAUGUUCUGGGCUGCACGCGCGCUACACUGACGCACGCAACAGGUGCCUGCUCCGAGAGGACUGGGUAAUCAUUUGAGUGUGCGUCGUGAUGGGGAUAGAAUAUUGUAAUUAUUACUCUUCAACGAGGAAUUCCUAGUAAGCGCCAGUCAGCAGCUUGCGCUGAUUACGUCCCUGCCCUUUGUACACACCGCCCGUCGCUCCUACCGAUGGGUGAUCCGGUGAAUGAUUCGGACUUCAGCGGCUCCCCUGGGGUGCGCCGGAGAAAGUUUUGUGAACCUUACCACUUGGAGGAAGGAGAAGUCGUAACA